UGGGAACGAGAAGACACUCCUGGAGGCG
This 28-nucleotide non-coding RNA is filed under the name Homo sapiens (human). The record is from RNAcentral. Lineage: Eukaryota; Metazoa; Chordata; Mammalia; Primates; Hominidae.